ACCUUAAAAGUGAAGCAACGGAACUAUUAUUGGGCCAUAGAUCAAGCCCAUAUAAUAAGAAUCCACUAGAUAGCACCUUCGUCUCUAAUCCCCGUUUUUUAAUUCCGAGUCAUCAACUCACUAAACUCGUUCUUGACUCGACUCACCGCGACGCCAGAAGCUCGGAGGAACAGAAACGGAAACAAUGUCGUCGAGAGACACCAACGGAGGCGCUCUGCCGACGAAGAAGCUGGAAAUCUUAGAGAGAGGCGAAGAAGACGAUUCUCCACCAACGUCGAAGAGAGAUUCCCGGAAAGCGCGGGAAGAUUCGGAAUCAGACUCGGAAACGGAGAGAAAGCACAAGAGCAGUUUGAGGAGGAAAUCGCGACGAGAUAGUUCGGAUUCAGAGGAUGAGAAAUCGCGUAGGAGGAAGAGGAAGUCGCGGAGGAGGUACAGCAGCGACGAGAGCUCCGAUUCCGGUUCGGAUUCAGCUUCGGAUUCGGAGGAGGGAGAGUCGGAGAGUUCAGGUUCGGAGUAUUCGGAUUCGGAGUCGGAGAGCGAAGGAGAGAGGAGGGAGAGGAAGAGGAGAGAGAAGAGAAGGAGGAGAGAGAAGGAGGAAGAGCGAGAGAGGAGGAAGAGGAAGAGGGAGAAAGAGAAGAAGAGAAGGAAGAAGGAGAAGGAGGAGGAGAGAAGGAAGAAGGAGAAGCGGAAGAUGAAGAAGAAAGAGAAGAAGGAGAGAGGGAAGAAAGGUGCAGUCACAAAUUUGUGGGGAAAAUAUGGUGUCAUAAGAGAAACUGAUAUGUGGACCAAACGACCAGAGUUCACUGCAUGGUUGGCAGAAGUAAAGCAGGUGAAUCUUGAGAAUCUGGCGAAUUGGGAAGAAAAGCAGAUGUUCAAACAAUUCAUGGAGGAUCACAACACAGCUACCUUCCCUUCCAAAAAGUACUACAACCUCGAUGCUUAUUACAGACGUCAAAUGGAAAAGGAUAUGAAGAAAGGUAUUAAGAAGGUCCGGGCAUCAGAACGUACUGUUUUUAACGAUGAAGAACAGCGCAGGCAAGAAUUGUUGCAAGCACGUGAAAAGCAUAAGGAAGAGCAAGUGAUUGCUUUGAAGCACUCUAUGCAAAGUGGAAGGCACAGGCAAUGAAAGAGCAAGCUCAACUGAGGGAGGAAAUGGCAUACCAAUACAAGCUUGGUAACUUUGAGGCUGCUGCUGCUAUCCAGAGAAGGUUGGAUCCUGAUGCUGCUUUGUAGUUGGAUAUAGCUUCCAUGAAUAAAUAUCGAGAAAAGAGCUUUCUGAUCAAAGAAUUUGGUGACAGUUUCAUGGUGAUCAUGCCUUCAUGACAAACAUCAAUGUAGAUUAUGAAUUGUUAUGGUUAUCAGGUAUGAGAUAUGCCUGAGAGGUGGGGAUGGAUUUUAUUUGUUCCAAAAGUUUAGUUAAAGGCUCACUGUUUGUGACUCAUUUUUGCUUACUGCUAUUUCGAAUUUUAGAUACUAGAGUUUUGUAGAGGUUCUGCUUUUUAGCAUGAAGUUAAGGUGGAAAAAUCAUGUUGUCUUGAACCAUAGAUCUAAAUAUAAUUUGGUUGAGCGUAUGAGAAAUGAGAUAUUUUUCUAUAUCCUAAACCCUAAAGUUGAACGACCAUAUAUCAAACUGAACUUUUGGCA
Non-coding RNA from Arachis ipaensis, 1644 nucleotides. The record is from RefSeq and is a predicted model, not a curated record. NCBI's taxonomy places the organism in Eukaryota, Viridiplantae, Streptophyta, Magnoliopsida, Fabales, Fabaceae.